This 641-nucleotide ribosomal RNA is filed under the name uncultured Pseudomonadota bacterium. RNAcentral's name for it is "bacterial SSU rRNA". It matches the Rfam family "Bacterial small subunit ribosomal RNA", at positions 69 to 702 of the family's 1533-position model. The record is from RNAcentral. Lineage: Bacteria; Pseudomonadati; Pseudomonadota.
ACAGGAAACAGCUUGCUGUUUCGCUGACGAGUGGCGGACGGGUGAGUAAUGUCUGGGAAACUGCCUGAUGGAGGGGGAUAACUACUGGAAACGGUAGCUAAUACCGCAUAACGUCGCAAGACCAAAGAGGGGGACCCUCGGGCCUCUUGCCAUCGGAUGUGCCCAGAUGGGAUUAGCUUGUUGGUGGGGUAACGGCUCACCAAGGCGACGAUCCCUAGCUGGUCUGAGAGGAUGACCAGCCACACUGGAACUGAGACACGGUCCAGACUCCUACGGGAGGCAGCAGUGGGGAAUAUUGCACAAUGGGCGCAAGCCUGAUGCAGCCAUGCCGCGUGUAUGAAGAAGGCCUUCGGGUUGUAAAGUACUUUCAGCGGGGAGGAAGGGAGUAAAGUUAAUACCUUUGCUCAUUGACGUUACCCGCAGAAGAAGCACCGGCUAACUCCGUGCCAGCAGCCGCGGUAAUACGGAGGGUGCAAGCGUUAAUCGGAAUUACUGGGCGUAAAGCGCACGCAGGCGGUUUGUUAAGUCAGAUGUGAAAUCCCCGGGCUCAACCUGGGAACUGCAUCUGAUACUGGCAAGCUUGAGUCUCGUAGAGGGGGGUAGAAUUCCAGGUGUAGCGGUGAAAUGCGUAGAGAUCUGGA